Molecule: long non-coding RNA, 231 nt
Organism: Anguilla rostrata (American eel)
Lineage: Eukaryota; Metazoa; Chordata; Actinopteri; Anguilliformes; Anguillidae
Exons: 2
Source: RefSeq, a predicted model, not a curated record
CAGCAGCAGUAACAGCAGCAGCAGCAGCAGCAGAAACAGUACCAGCAGCAGCAGCUUCAGUAGCAGUAGCACCCAGCAGCAGCAGUAGCAGCAGCAGCAGAAACUGAUUAUAGAGGAAACAUUGGCGGCUGCGACACCGGUACUUGCCAGUAGACAGUAGCAGCCGUGCUCCUAUACUGCAAAGCUCAUAGCUUUUGAACGGAAAUUAUGUCAAUGCCAACGGAUGAAGAA